Molecule: non-coding RNA, 879 nt
Organism: Pelobates cultripes (western spadefoot toad)
Lineage: Eukaryota; Metazoa; Chordata; Amphibia; Anura; Pelobatidae
Source: the annotation of a GenBank genome assembly
CUGUAAUUGGCUGUCUCUGACCGCUGACCCCAAAACGUGCGUGCACGUCUAUGACGUGACGCCGCACGUACGUCGGCGCCAUCUUUGAUGUGGGCGAAGGUAAGUCUCUUAUAAAAGCCUGAUCCGCAAUGGCCGGCGUUCCUAAGAACGUCGCACCUGCUGGGGACCGGAACGGAGGGAGACCGGGUUUCUGCCCGCCAAGCCCAAGGUAAGUUUGAAACAUUUGAUGGUGUGGCUGAUUAGUUUGAGUGCAGCCACGCCGGCAGAGAUGUAACCGAGAACUCAUUGUAUGGACCAGAGAGACAACUCCAGCAACGAAGAACUCAUUGUAUGGACCAGCUUCCAGUAACCGAGAACUCAUUGUAUAGACCAGACUCCAGUCUCCAAGAACUGCUUGCGUGGACUGAUGAGACUAUAAUUACACAUGGACCUGACAGAGAAGAAAAGCCAGUGCCUUAGCUGGGUAAAGGGCCACCAGAACAGACUUUGUUAUAUUUAUUGAUUUUAUGACAACAACUGAAUGGAUAAGGUCUGCACCCCAACUUUCUGACUGCCCUGAACAAUUACAAUUAUUUAUAUAGCGACCACAUAUUCCGCAGCGCUGUACAAUAAGAAAACAAGACAAAAAUGUAAUUCUAGCAAAACAUGUAGGACAUUGGGAACAGUAGGUGAACAGGUCUCUUCCAAACGAGCUUAUAAACUAGAUGGUUAUCCCUGCUGUAGGUUUCCUCUUCUCCCCGCUACCUCUCACUGCCUGGCUCUUCCUCCAAUUCCCUGCUUGAGUUCCUUGCUUCCAGACACUCAAAGCAUUUUGUGCUUGUAUAAUAGGAGCUCGUAACAUGAUUAAAAUUGCAAACAUGUCUGUGUGUCAUUCUGUAU